This is a long non-coding RNA of Macaca fascicularis (crab-eating macaque), 2459 nucleotides long. The record is from Ensembl. Lineage: Eukaryota; Metazoa; Chordata; Mammalia; Primates; Cercopithecidae.
UUUUUUUUUUCUUUUUUUUUUUUUGAGAUGAAGUCUCGCCCUGUCACCCAGGCUGAAGUGCAAUGGCGCGAUCUCAGCUCACUGCAACCUCUGCCUCCCGAGUUCAAGCAAUUCUCCUGCCUCAGCCUCCCGAGUAGCUGGGAUUACAGGCCCAUGCCACCAUGCACUGCUAAGUUUUUGUAUCUUUAGUAGGUAUGGGGUUUCACCAUGUUGGCCAGGCUGGCUUGGAACUCCUGACCUCGUGAUCCACCUGCUGUGGCCUCCCACAGUGCUGGGAUUACAGGUGUGAGCCACCACACCUGGCCUCUGUCUUUCCUCGAUCCUUCCUCCAGAUUUUGGCUUCACCUUCAGUUUGGCGAGGCAUGCCUUCCAGACCUAACAGGGUACAGCCUAAAAGAAGAAGGUUGAUUUUUUUUUCUUCCCAUAGCUCUCUUCUAGACGCAAUAAGAUUUUUUUCAUAAAGCUCCCUAGUCUACAUUUUGUGCAUCUUAUUGGCCCAAAUAUAGGAUACAUUCCCACUUCCUGAACCAGUCACUGGCAAGGGGACUGGGUUUAUUUUGGACCAAUCAGACUCACCUCUGAAGCUCGGGAGUCGUGGGGAGUCUACGUUCCCCUAAAGCCACUGGCUGUGUGGGAGAGUGGAGAGCACCCACACCAAAUCAGGGUUUGUUGUGAAUUUUUAGAAGUAGAAAUGAGGGCUGGGCAUAGUGGCUCAUGUCUGUAAUCCCAAUACUUUGGGAGGCCAAGGUGGGAGGAUUGCUUGAGCCUGGAGUUCCAGACCAAUUUGGGCAACAUAGUAAGACCCCACCUCUACAAAAAAAAGAAAAAGAAAAAAGAAAUUGGAACUUGGUAAACUAUCAACAGCGUCCAUGAUAGGAUCUCCAAAGGAAAGGGGGGCAACAGGAAAGCUCUCCAGAGGAGGUGGCCUAUGAGCUGGGUCUUUGUAUGAGUCUGUUCUUACAUUGCUGAUAAAGACAUACCUGAGACUGGGUAAUUUAUAAAGAAAAAAAGGUUUAAUGGACUCACAGUUCCACGUGGCUGGGGAGGCCUCACAAUCAUGGUGGAAGCCAAAAGGCAUGUCUUACAUGGUGGCAAACAAGAGAAAGCAAGCCAAGUGAAAGGGGUUUCCCCUUAUAGAACCAUCAGGUCUCGUGAGACCUAUUCACCACCAUGAGAACAGUAUGGGGGAAACUGCCCCCAUGAUUCAAUUAUCUCCCACUGGGUCCCCCGCACAACAUGUGGGAAUUAUGGGAGCAAUUCAAGAUGAGAUUUGGAUGGGGACACAGUCAAACCAUAUCAGUCUUCAACAACCGGCAGGAGUUAUCUGUGAGACAAGAGGGAGAAGGUGAUCCCAGGCACUGGGCUCAGCAUCUGAAAAAGCAUAGCAAGAUGUUCAAAGGACCAGGAAACAUUUGGCAGGACUGGAGAGUUGGGGACACAAGGGACAUAAGAAAUCCAAGUCUGGCUGAAAAAAAAUUUGCAGGGCUAACAUGGUGCCGGCCCUCAUUGGCUGUGCUAAGGAGCUUGAACCUUAAUCAGUGGGAAACAGGGGAGUCUAGUUUGUAUAAGGAUGAUUUUGAGGACGUGGGAAUGUCCUAGUAUACGUGGGAGUGAGUUGGAGUACUUCUAAUUAGGAGCAUUGCUGUGUGCCUUUCAAACCCACCAUGGCCCCACCAGGUUUCCUGAGCACUCUCAGAGCCAUAGGUGGUGUCUGCAGCAGCAACAGCAGGUGAGGAGCUAGGACUACUGCCUCUCUGUGGGCCAGGUAGCAAGGACAGAGGUACGUAGAUAGGAGGGAAUGAACCCGGUCCCCUCCCAGGAGCUCAGAAUGAAGCCACCAGCCAUGGGCAUAAAGAGAAGCAGGCUUGGAGCAGGCCCAAUCACUUCCUGGUGAAUCGCAUCAUCCCCACACUCACUGUGCAAUCAGCAGCCUGGCCAGCCAUCGAGCCCUGGUAAGGUGGCUGCUGUCUCAACCCCUGCCAGGAGGAAGGGAAACAUCCAGUUCCCAGGAGGGAGUCCAGUGAGGAAACCAUGACCUACACAUCCUUCCAUUCCCAGACUCUUCUACACACACAUUUGCUUCUCCCUUGAACUUCUGAGCUCUGGUUCCCUCUCCCCUUCCCUUACCAGCUUCCAAGUGGGGUCUGACCUGGCCCAUUUAUUUCCUCCCCACCUGUUGGUCCCUCAAGCCCCUGCAGUCUGACUAUUGAUACAGCUGAGGACACCAAUGACCCCCCCAGUGACCAUUUCUAAGAGCCAUCUGAGACCCCAUCCUCUCUGACUUCUGAGUGGCAUUUCUCACUUUGAACAGCAUUCUUCUUCUUAAGUUCAACUCAGAGUCUGGAGCCCUCCCAGGCCUUGAUCUGGGCAGUAUUCCAUGGCUGCUUUCCUGCUUCCUGCCCCUCUGGCCGUCCCUGUCUGCCCCUUUCACCACCUCUUUCUGUCUUUGAGCCCCAUGU